CCUGCCCAUAGGGGUGUUGUACGUAUGGCUGCUGUGGCUCGAGUAUGCGUCAGUAGAUGGCAGAGAGGAGAGAGGCUAUGACUACACCCAGUGUUCUGACCUGUGAACAUCUGAAUGAUUAGUAGCCAAACAUU
Molecule: small nucleolar RNA, 134 nt
Organism: Rattus norvegicus (Norway rat)
Lineage: Eukaryota; Metazoa; Chordata; Mammalia; Rodentia; Muridae
Product: small nucleolar RNA SNORA17
Source: Ensembl